Long non-coding RNA from Octopus sinensis (East Asian common octopus), 550 nucleotides. RefSeq lists it as uncharacterized. The transcript is spliced from 2 exons. The record is from RefSeq and is a predicted model, not a curated record. NCBI's taxonomy places the organism in Eukaryota, Metazoa, Mollusca, Cephalopoda, Octopoda, Octopodidae.
UAACGUCCAGGUUUCUGAGCCAUAUAGUAGAAUUGGUUUGACUGUGGCUUUGAAGAUUUCAAGUUUGAAGUCUCUACUUAGAUUUGAUGACCACAUCUUAUGCAUGUCAUUACAGGCUGACCCGUAAUACAGACAUCGCAAAGCUGUGGCCCCUCAUUAGUAUGGAUACGUUUGUGUCUAGUCAAGUGACUAUUAACAGAGAAUGAUUUACCACGGAUAUCACAGCAAUAUACUUUUACCCCCAGUAUGAAUACGUUUGUGACUAGUCAGGUGACUAUUACAAGAGAAUGAUUUUCCACAGAUAUUACGAUGAGAUGGCUUCUUUCCUGCAUGAGUACGUUUGUGUUAAGUCAAUUACCCACUUUGGGAGAAUGUCUUACCUCAGAUCCCACAAAGAUAUGACUUCUCCCUGUGUGUGUAUGUUUGUGUUAAGUCAAGUUACCCACUUUGGGAGAUUGUCUUAACUCAGAUCCCACAAAGAUAUGACUUCUCCCUGUAUGUGUAUGUUUGAGCUGAGUCAAGUUACUCACUUUGGGAGAUCGUCUUUACU